UACCCCUUUGAAGUAGAGAAACCAUAGUUAUUCUCUCUAUUCUGCUACCAUCGCCCAUAUACUAGAAUUGCUCUAUUCUCUAUUCCCAUAUUAUCACUCACUGUUAUCUUACCUUUAAUAUUGUUCUUAUUCGAUUCUACCAUCUUUCCUAUUUACACUUAUUUACUUAUCUUGGUUAAGUUAGAGCGUAGUUGGUUCUCCCGUUUCCCUGUGGAUACGAUAAAACCUUU
Molecule: long non-coding RNA, 230 nt
Filed under: Sorghum bicolor (sorghum)
Lineage: Eukaryota; Viridiplantae; Streptophyta; Magnoliopsida; Poales; Poaceae
Description: long non-coding RNA (SBIC_LNC016361)
Source: RNAcentral